AUUGAACGCUGGCGGCAGGCCUAACACAUGCAAGUCGAACGGUAGCGCAGAGAGCUUGCUCUCGGGUGACGAGUGGCGGACGGGUGAGUAAUGUCUGGGAAACUGCCCGAUGGAGGGGGAUAACUACUGGAAACGGUAGCUAAUACCGCAUAACGUCGCAAGACCAAAGAGGGGGGACCUUCGGGCCUCUUGCCAUCGGAUGUGCCCACGAUGGGAUUAGCUUGUAGGUGAGG
This 233-nucleotide ribosomal RNA is filed under the name uncultured bacterium. RNAcentral's name for it is "partial 16S ribosomal RNA". It matches the Rfam family "Bacterial small subunit ribosomal RNA", at positions 30 to 257 of the family's 1533-position model. The record is from RNAcentral.